This 355-nucleotide transfer-messenger RNA is filed under the name Tissierellales. Its description in RNAcentral is "PP17-6a sp900095615 Standard tmRNA". It matches the Rfam family "transfer-messenger RNA". Rfam says of the family: Bacterial tmRNA, also known as 10Sa RNA or SsrA, is named for its dual tRNA and mRNA-like properties. RNAcentral also lists the same sequence under 3 other names. The record is from RNAcentral. Lineage: Bacteria; Bacillati; Bacillota; Tissierellia.
GGGGGCGAAUUUGGUUUCGACAGGGAUAUAGAAGCGGAAAUAGCGAGUCGUUGUCGCCAAACAACGUUAAAAAUGGCAAAUUAAAAUUAAACGCAAACGAUAAUAAUUACGCUUUAGCUGCCUAGUUAGACAGCUCGUCUUAUCCAAAAAUCCCACGAUUUGGAAUAGGGCGUCAACGUAGUGGGGAACCGAGCCCUACAAAGCUUUGAGUAAGGAACGGAAAUAAUGAAGCUACCAAAGCCUGAACCCUGUCAGUAGGGGUCUUGCCGAGGGAAUAUAAAAAUACUGACUGCACUCGGAGAGGUUUCUGUGGAAAUAUUUUUGGACGUGGGUUCGACACCCACCGCCUCCACUA